AGUGAACGCUGGCGGCGUGCCUAAUACAUGCAAGUCGAACGGAGUGGCGCACGGGGGAGUAAUGUAUAGCUAAUCUGCCCUACCCUAGAGGGCAACAGUUGGAAACGACUGCUAAUACUCUAGAGUGUAGGAGGAGGCUAUAGUGUAUCAGUUAGUUGGUGAGGUAGUGGCUCACGAAGGCUAUGACGCAUAACUGGUCUGAGAGGAUGAUCAGUCACACUGGAACUGAGGCACGGUGCAGACUCCUACGGGAGGCAGCAGUAGGGAAUAUUGCUCAAGGGGCGAAGCCCUGAGGCAGCAACGCGGCGUGGAGGAGUACACUUGUCGGAGCGUAAACUCCUUUUGUUUGGGAAGCGGUACCUAACGAAUAAGCACCGGCUAACUCCGUGCCAGCAGCCGCGGUAAUAC
RNAcentral lists this ribosomal RNA (408 nucleotides) under uncultured bacterium. RNAcentral's name for it is "partial 16S ribosomal RNA". It matches the Rfam family "Bacterial small subunit ribosomal RNA", at positions 29 to 526 of the family's 1533-position model. The record is from RNAcentral.